Molecule: long non-coding RNA, 1242 nt
Organism: Cyprinus carpio carpio
Lineage: Eukaryota; Metazoa; Chordata; Actinopteri; Cypriniformes; Cyprinidae
Source: Ensembl
CAGGGCAUCAGCAAGGCACUGCUCACCAGAUUUAAGUAGUUCAGGCGGGAUCUCAUCCAGGCCUGCAGCCUUGCCAUUCUUGAUUACCCAGAUCACAUUUUUUGUUUCCACUACCGUGAUCGUGUCAAGGUUUACUGGCAGAUCGGGUGUAGGGUUUAAGAGGCUGCGAUCAAAUGCUGGGGUUUGCACUGACUGGUUUAGGACUUCCUUGAAAUGCCCAACCCACCGACGCUCGCAUUCUUCUUGAGUAGGAAGGGCCCUACCGUCCUGAUCUUUCAUCGGUGCGCUGCUUCUGGAUGGGGACUUGGAAAGCUCUCAAACGAUCGGAUAUAGGGUGCGUGUAUCAUUUCAAUUUGAAGCUUCUUGUGCCUCGGUCCCUUUCUGAUUGACCCACUCGCGCUUGUCAUGUCUGCAACUUGCUUCAACAUUGCUUUGCAUGCCACCAUUCAUCUAUCAAUGCCCAUGAUCGAGGUUGGAUCCAGUGUUCUCUGAAGGUGCCCCGUGGUAGCCUCUGCUGCGGUUGCCAGAGUGUCUCAAAACUGCUCCAGCAGGAAUCCAGGUCAUGUGUGGGGGCCAAUAGUUCGAAGCAAUUCCGGACUGCAACAUUGUACUGCUGCAAUACGACUGGGACUCGGAGUUGUACGAUAUCAAAAGGCCCUGACCACGGGCUGGCAAAUACCGUAAUCGAAAUCGGCAGGUUGCAAUGAGCAGGAAGUGGUCAGUAACCACCCUGCAGGCCCCCGGGACUUUCCGCGUUUUUGUGGAUCCACUUGUGUGGAAAGUAUGUAUUAGUGACCACAAGUCAUUGUACAGCACAAAUAGUCAGGAGUCGCAUACCAUUGUCAUUGGUUUUGGUCACUAAACCAUGGGGGCCAAUCACAUGAUCAAAUGCUUGCCUUUCCUUGCUGAUCUGGGCGUUAAGAUCGCCUGCAACGAUGACGAGGUCAUGGUGCAGGAUACAGUUGAGCUCAAGUAGUAAGUCGUCUUAGAAAGAGUCUUUAUCUGCAUCGGAGGCAUCAUCUGCUGGCGCAUAGACCUGAAUGAAAGUCAACUUCACAUGUAUGCCUUGCAGCAAUACGGAAAUGAUUCUGUCCGAGACAGGUCGCCAGGAUAGGACAAUCCCCACACCAUGGACAUGGUCACGGUUGUGGCUGGAGUAUAUAAAGGUCUUAUAAACUUCCCACUGGACGAGUGGGCCUCACCAAUGCCAAAGAUGGCAAGAUGAUAGUGAUUAAAUUCUCC